Molecule: transfer RNA, 69 nt
Filed under: Ictidomys tridecemlineatus (thirteen-lined ground squirrel)
Lineage: Eukaryota; Metazoa; Chordata; Mammalia; Rodentia; Sciuridae
Description: Spermophilus tridecemlineatus (thirteen-lined ground squirrel) tRNA
Rfam family: tRNA
About the family: Transfer RNA (tRNA) molecules are approximately 80 nucleotides in length.
Source: Rfam by way of RNAcentral
GGUGUUGUGGUUCAAUGGUAGAAUGCUCGUCUAGCACAUAUGAGGCACUGGGUUCAAUCCUCAGCACCA